Molecule: small nuclear RNA, 65 nt
Organism: Arvicanthis niloticus (Nile rat)
Lineage: Eukaryota; Metazoa; Chordata; Mammalia; Rodentia; Muridae
Product: U7 small nuclear RNA
Source: RefSeq, a predicted model, not a curated record
GAGAGAACACAGCUCUUUUACAAUUUUUCUAGCAGGGUUUUCUAACUCUGUUUGGAAAAACCCAC